UGUGCCAGCCGCCGCGGUAAUACGUAGGGUGCGAGCGUUGUCCGGAAUUAUUGGGCGUAAAGAGCUUGUAGGCGGUUUGUCGCGUCUGCUGUGAAAGCCCGGGGCUUAACCCCGGGUCUGCAGUGGGUACGGGCAGGCUAGAGUGUGGUAGGGGAGACUGGAAUUCCUGGUGUAGCGGUGGAAUGCGCAGAUAUCAGGAGGAACACCGAUGGCGAAGGCAGGUCUCUGGGCCACUACUGACGCUGAGAAGCGAAAGCGU
Molecule: ribosomal RNA, 259 nt
Filed under: uncultured Actinomycetales bacterium
Lineage: Bacteria; Bacillati; Actinomycetota; Actinomycetes; Actinomycetales
Description: partial 16S ribosomal RNA
Rfam family: Bacterial small subunit ribosomal RNA
Source: RNAcentral